GGGAGAUGAUGUGAUUAUAUUUUAAUCUCAAAAUUUAAAAAAAAAAUUUAAUUUUUUAAAAAGAAAGACACUACCAUAUCUCUCUUCUGUCAGAUUAGUGAGACAGUGGUCCCCCAAGCCACUGGAACUGAGACAGUGUUGAGUUUGGGUGGAUGGACUGCUUAGUUACACAUACCUAUUGUUCUCUGUUUAAACCUAAAACUUAUGUUAUGUCAGUACCCCAAAGACUGGACUUGGGGAACACAGGACCCCUUUUAUAAACUUUGUUUCUCAGAUUUUUCCCUCCUGGGAACCACAGAGCUGGGGCAGGAUGAGGCCCAGGCUCCAGAGGAUUUUUGCAGCCUCCUCUCCCUGCUUCAGAUUCUUGCAGUCUGGCCUGGCAUGCCUCCUAGCUGGGAGUAUGGCUAAGGGAGGCUGAGCACAGCCACGGGAGUUAGCAUCAGUGUUUCUUUUUAAAUUUGACCUCAACCAUGUUUGUAUGAAAACCAUGAUUUCCGGCAUCAUUUGAAAAACUGAAAGAUGGAACCAUUCCCACUGUUCCACAAAGCCAUGACCAUCCAAGCCGGGUGACAGCUGUCCUAUGAAGAAACCUGGCACCUGCUGUCCUUACCCAGCAAGUUCCCCUCUAUAGGUUACUCAUCUCGCCCUUGAAUUUGAGACUCUGAUCUAGUGCACUAGACCAGAUAGGAAAUGCCUUUGGGGAGCAUGUCCAGGGACAGGCCUUGUCAUUUUUGAUGGCCCUUCUAGGUUUCACGUGUCUUCUGGACAAGUCUAGGAGCUCCUGGGCCCUUGGUUUCCUCCCAUCUGUGGAAUGAGGGCAAGUCCUGGCAUUCUCUAAGGGCAUGUGCAGCUGACUUUGUGAGCUCCCAGACCUGUCCUGUGACCUUGGCUCUGCAGGAGUCUGGACAGCUCAGCCUCUGCCUGCAGUGUCUGCAGAGAAAGGAAGCAAGCAGAGGGAAGGCCCAGGGAUCCUUUAUGUGGAAGCUUCCAAAGAUGCUUCCUCUCUUCACUGACCUGCCCCCUCUCCUCAGACUGAGGAAGGCGUGAGACUGGAGCCUGGCCAGCCGAGACCAGGAGCCCAUGUUGGUCUGAUGCUAAAUCAAAGCCUUAACAGACAGCCUACUGAUGCACUGUCUUGAGAAUGCUGUUUCCUUGAGGACCAGUCAGUGCUGGAGGUGGGGACGCUCAUUCUUUCCAUUCUGUUCUCGCUCCCAUAACUUCCACGUCAGCCCUCACUGCAGCCCCGGGUCCCAGUCCAGACUUGGACUUCAGUUCUCUGUGGUAGCAUUGCUGGACUUGACGUUCCGUGUCUGUGUGAGUCUCCUAACUCAGUCGCCUCUCUCGACUCCACCCGCCCUCAGUUCUGCUCAUGUCAUUAGAGGUUCCUGGCCCAUAAAGAGUCCAAGAACUUCUCCUUGGAUGAAUGAAUGAACCUGGGACGGUCUGACUGUUCCCUCCCAAACGCACAUGGAGACUGACCUGCCUCUGUAAUAGCUUUAGCAGGCCAGGCAUUUGAGAGGUGGUUAGGUCCAAGAGCUCUGUUCUCAAGAGCAGUCAGUGCUGUCACUGGGUCACUGGGUCACUGGGUCACUGGGUCAGGUGUCAUGAGUGGGUCUGUUAUACAUUCAGCCACCACUUGCCUCUCUCUGAUUCACACCCACGUACCUUUCUGCCACAAUGCUGUGCAGCAUGAGGGCCAUACCUGGUGCUGCUCCUCCAUCUUACACUUCCCAGACCAUAAAGCUAAAUGAACUCCUAAGGCUCAUCAUUUUGCUGGCUUGGGGUAUUCAGUUAUAACCAUAGCAAACAGACCAAGACAGCUUUCCAAAGCAGCCAGGCAUUCACACACCUUCAGCCUCUGGAUCCCACUCGGGUCACUUUCUGUCCCAGGGGCCCCCCGCCUUGAGUGCCAGAAUGUUUGCUCCAUACUGCCACCUUCAGGCACUGGCAGUCCUUCCUGUCGUGAGGUCAGCAUUCCUCACGAUCUAGUUCAUGGGGUCUUCUCUGAUGCGGACUUCCCGUAGUAUGCUUUGCAUGUUGUCACACUUUCUGUUGCUACACACUUUCUAAGCUAUAUGUGGUUGUUAUGGCCACCCCAUCUGUGUUUGCCCUAACCACCUCCAUUGCUGCAGUGACACACCCCUCCUCAACCUGUGGUUAUGAUGACCAUUCCACCUACUAUUGCCAUGACCACCCUCCCUGUGGUUGCCAUGACCACACCCCAGUGACUACAGUGACCAUCCACUCUGUAUUUUUGAUGACCCCCUCACUUUGGUUGCCAUUGCCACCCUCCCUGUGGUUGGAAUGACCAUUCCUCCAUGACUGGGAUGCCCACACCCCCUGUGAUUGCCAUGACCACUCCUCCAUGACUGGGAUGCCCACCCCCACCCCACCCUCAUGGCUUCCAUGACCAUCCCACCUGUAGUUGCAAUGUUCACUCCAUUUGUGGUUGCAAUGACCACACCCCUGUGAUUGUGAUGCCCACCCCACUUGUGGUUACACAACCACAACCCCUGUGGUUGCCAUGACCACCCAAACUGUAGUUGCAAUGAUCACCCCACAGUGGUUGCUUUCUGCAUCACACAGAAGUCUUCAAUUGCAAGUAGAACACCCAAUUCCAGUUGUCACAAAGCACCAACUCUGCCACCAGCUUCUCUGUCAGCAAGACAUUGGCUCUCCCUCCAAACUGAAUGGGGGUUCAUCCUCAGGGAAAUUUUACUCCUUCAUGAAGGUAGAUGACUGCCAGCUUCACAUUCAUAAGCCCACCUGAACAAAGAAGAGCCCUUCCCAACCCCAAGUGAAAGUUCUCAAUUCAUACCUACUGGCCUUCUGUCCCAAGCACUUGAGCUAUGGUUUAGAGCAAUUCUUACUUGGCUUAGAGAAAUCUGGCCUCAGUGAGAGCCAAAUCUCCCCCCAGAUGAGAACAGUGUUUAAACCAACUCAGAAUACAACCAGAGUGCCGUAGAGGCCUUGGAAAGAGACCACAAGAUCCCUAGGCUUUGUGUUUUCCCCCAAAGGAACCCAGAGCUCACUGAGGGCAGGGCUGGCUCCACUUGCUCUCUGGUCCCCUUCCUUUCCUGUGCCAGGCACGCAGCUCACUCCCAGGAACUUUCCUCUAUUUGAAUUCCUCUCUUCUUUCCCAUCCAGAUGACACCUGUCACCCACUGUUUAUAAGAACAUCUCUGGUACCCCCAGCUUCCACCCAUCCUGAGACAGCCUCCAGGUGCUACCUGGGUGUGGGCAGACCUCCAGGAAGAGGGCACGGCUAGCCUCUCCUGACACAGGUUUGGUAAAGAGUUAUCUUGGGGGAAGAUGCCUGAGAUUGGCCUGGGGCAUCCACACUCACUUCUUGGCCUUUGGACCCCUUCAUCACAGCCUCCCAUGGGGCUCUGGCAGCAUGGGAGCAGGCUAUGUGCCUGCCUACCCCUGCCCACUCCAUCACAAUGACAUUGGAGUGACAGCUGCCCCAAGGAAAACCAGACUUCACCCAGUGGGAGUGGAAUAGGAGUCUGAUUCUGCUUCACUGUUACUGUUUGGUUGGUUGGUUUUGGGUUUUUUGUUGUAAAUUUUAACAGGAAAAAUGUAAGUCUUGGAGACUGUCCUAUGAGGAAGGUGUGCAGGAAGAGGACAGUGAGAAGCAGACAGCCAGAAUCAAAGGACAGAAGGCAGGCAAGGGACAGACUGAGAGGGUCACAGGGCCCCCUCCUUGGCCCUGUUGAUUUCUGGCUGCAACCCAGAGACUCAGUCCUGAGGCAUCCUCAGGACCUGUCUAGUGCUGGUUCUUGGCAUGGCUUCCCGGCCCAAUCCACUUAGCAUCAUUAUUUGCGGUUGGAGAAGUUCCUCUUCCUAACCCACCAGGAGCAGCCAGCCUUCCCAUGCAGUCUCACUUAAACCAGUGAGAGUCAGCCUCUGAGCUGGAUGCUCAGGAUGCUUUGAUCGGCACAUGUCUUGAAACAGUGACCCAGCCCAGCCCGCUCACGGACUCUCCUAACUUGCUCCUUGUCUCACUUGGAUAAUCCAGUCACUCAUUUCUUCCUAGAUGUCUUACUAACUUACUGUUAUUUCAAAUUAUGAUUGUCAGGCAUUAGCUAUGGUCCAGACAGGCCCAAUGCUUGACAUGGUAAAGAUGUGAAGAGGAACCAGGUGGAGUUUGCAUUUCGAAAAUGGGAAAUAAUAAAUAUUAAGCAAAGGCUGGACGGUGUUGCAAAUCUUGGGGAAGAGCGUGUGUGGGAUGGAGAGCACGUUGGCUAAAAGGCUGUCAUCAGAGGGACGUCUCAGCCUUUGGAGAAGCAGCUGCCUGUGGAUUAACUUUAAGCAUUUGAAGCACACCCUCAGCCCAGGAAUGCUCCCCCAGCCACAUUCCCAGCCCUGAUCCAGGUCCCUAGACACCCCCACCUCUCUUCCCUCUGGGCUAUCCAACUGGAUUUCAGUGCUGCUCCUGACAGGCAUCCCCUGUCUGUUCUGCUUCGCCUCCGGGGUAAUGUCCUUGGAGGAAGCAAGCAUACUUCUGCUUCUAAGGUGAUCUGCUUGCACAAAUAUUCAGAGGAAAAGUGAACCAUCUGUCUUCAGGGCUGAGUGAGGAAGGAAGAGAUUCAAACCUUUGACUGAAUGGGAAGACAUUUUUAUCACAGCUGACUGUUGAUGGAGGAAGAGAGCGAGAAACAGGAAGCAUUUCCUCCCUUUUUGGAGACAGUGAUUUCUGCGGCUUUUACCACAUGACACAGUGUGAGAAGAAUCUUCUAUUUUCUUGGGAUUUUUUUUGUUAUUGUUUUGAUAUGGACUGCUUUUUUGAUGUAGGCUAAUCAGAUACAGGGUCUGAUAUUGGCUGAGUAAUGGCCUUGAUCUCACUAUGUAGGGAAGAUGGGCCUUGAAUGUCUAACCCUCCUAUUUCCACUUCCUGAGUGCUAGAAUUAUAAGCAUGGAUAUAAGCAUGCGUAGAGUAAGUGCAUAGAUCAUAAGCAUGUCAUGCCUAGCCCAGGAGCUUUCUAAACAUAGCUUAGCCCCAACAACUUCAGGAACAACCAGAAGAACUUUUAUUCACGUCCUUGUUUUGUUGUUUUGUUUUGUGGGGUCAUACCGUUUCUUGAGGGGCACUUGGCAAACCUAGGGCUUCUAUUUUAAUUGUGACCAGACACUAAAAUACUGAAAUAUCCGUGAAAGGAAACUUUUUCAAACUUUUCUUCAGCUUAGGAGCUAUUGGCAGCUGACAGCCGCCGGAGGAGGAAGAAGCAUUCUUCUUUGGGGCUGUGGCCCCUGGCAGAUUGCCCAAGCUCUGGUGAAUGGCUGCACCCCUGCACAUAUGACAGUACCGGUUGGACUUAGUGGGUUAUUUAAAAUAAGAAGAAGGGAGAGAAGGAAGAAAUGGAGGAGGAAGAGGAGGGACAGGAGGAGGUCAUGAAGUUGGGAGGGAGAAGUGUUGAAGAGAAAUCAAAGAAGUUAGAAGGGGAAAUGGAGAGUGGAUAUGGUCAUAUUUUGUUGUACACAGGUAUGAAAUUCCCAAAGAACAAUUUUUUUUUCAUUUUUCUCUUUGCCUCAAAAACAAAACAAAACAGAACAAAAGAUACUUUGCUUCAGUUUAAAUUUUAAAGGACGUUUACACCUAUGGGUUGUUCAAGCAGAUUUCAUUUCAUGAUAGCAAAAGGGUUAUCACAGCAGGAUGCUAAGGAUGCUGCCAGCAUCCAGGCAGAGAGAAAGCAGACCCUCCUUCCUGGAGGCCACUAUGAGUCUAUAGGAAAUGGCUCUGAGGAAGCAUGAUACUGAAGGGGCAGCUAUGCUGAAAACUAGAAAUUCAGGCAACAGCACUGAGUCUCUGAGCUGCCCGUGCCCCUCCCAGCCCAGUCCCACACUGAGCAGGCGGUGAGGACCCCAGCUUCUGAUGUCCUGAAGCUUUGGGCAGCACCCACUCUUGGCCGACUUGCUGGACUUAAUUGAAAUGCUGGUAAGCCGAGAGCUCUGCUGGCCUGGUAUUUUGGACAUCGCUUGCUGGCCUCAGCUAGACACAUGCACAGCCAAACCAAGACAGGCUCCAGUUAGCCACACUCUGCUGCCAACCCUGAGCUUACAUGUCACCACAAAGAUAAAAAGGAGCCCAACAGAAAGAGACAGAGCAUUGAAAAGCCUGGGCCCUGGGUGCUCUCCUGUAGUAGACCACUUUGGAAAUGGCCCCCGUGGUGCCUGCCUUCUUGUAUCAGCACCUGUGUGGUUCCCUCUGUCCAGAAGCGGCCGACAGAGUGACUCGCUUCUCAUAAACAGAAUACGGCAUGAAUGAUGGACGUCACUUCCAAGGCGAGGACCCAAGCUGCUGGCUUCUGCUUGCUUAGCUCUCCCUUUCUCUCUCAUUCUUCUCUCUUGCUUCUGGGAUAGAAUCCAGUUGCGUGUAGAGAGGCACAUCUCUUAGGAACCAAGGAUGGCCUCCUGCCAAAUCAAGCAAAGAGCUGAUGCUUUCUGUUCCCGGGGUCCACAAGGAACACACUCCUGCCACUCAGCACGUGAGGCAUUUGGAAGCAGAUCUCCCCAUAAGUCAAGCCAAUACCCAGACUAUGGCCUUCCUCAGAGGACCCAGUGAAGACCUCCAGACUCCUGACUCACAAAAGCUGUGAGAUCAUCAGUGAGUGGUUUAGGUCAUUAAGCUAGGGGAAAACCUGUCAUUGAGGCAGCUUCCUCCCCACAGGUAGACCCUCAGUGGAGGGACAGCGGCUUUGGCCUCAAGUGUGUGGUCAUGUUCUGCCAGUCAGCCAUGCAGAAACAGAGACAGUGAGGACUACCGUGCCUCCAUGUGAGACUUGAGAAUAUAAAAUGUCCAAUCAGAAACUUUAGCAGGUUCACUUUAAGACAGAGAAUUCAUGGCCUCUCUCCAGACAGGACUGCAUGAUGCCCAGAGCCCAGGUAAUUUCUUCAGCAAAGAAACAAAUGGGUAAACAGCCACAGUGGACAUGGGCAGGAACUGGACUCCAUCAAGACCUAAGCUGAAGAAGUUCCGGCACUUACGCUGCUGAAUUGCAAGACCAAUUCCAGUUCACUUGGAAUCAUCAAUAGUGGACCUUCCGUGUAUUCCACCAGGUUACUUUCCUAUUCCUCUUAGUCGUCAUGACAUGGCAAUCCAGGACCUGCCUUGUUAUCCUGCCCACCCUCUGUAAAAAGGUUUCAUUACAUAGAUGACAGAAUACUGACCUCCAUUUUACAAAUUUAGGGAAGCUUCUAAAAGGCGUAGAGGUGCACCUGAAGGAAUGGGGAUAAGAGGUGAGUCUACAAAGUGUGUGAAGGCCAGGCGCUGCUGCAAAGUUAGGGGUGUCACAGCCUGGUAUGGUGCACAUAAUACUUGAAAAGUGUGUUGGAAAAAAACUCCCAACAGCCUGUACCUGUGAAUGGAAAAGAAAUGCAGCCUUUCUGAGGACUCCUGGGAGACUGGUGGACCUCCACACCCACCUCAUCCAAGCUGCCCAUCCUUCCUGCACAAUUUGAUAAAGAAGGGUGCCAAGCGGAAUUGGGGCAGAAGUACUCCAGAGGCUUUGGAAUAAGCUCAGACCCUUCUAAGCCAGGCUAAUCAGCUGCGUGCCCCCAUUAGCCCAACAUCCCUUUCUAUUAGAAGUCACUAGAAGCUAAGAAAGCUAUCGCUGGGGGCUGUGGCAAAAACAACCCAUGCUAACAGUUCCAAUAGGGUCUGGCAUCAGCUGUGGAAAAAGACAGAAGCUCCGUGUCCAGUGUGAAAACAGCAACUGCUGACUGUGGAUAAAGCAUUGUAACUGUGGCGUGCACAGGCCCCCCCUCAGCUUAUCUGACUAAGAGUUGGGAUGGAGGCCUUUUGGUGUAGCCCCUUCCUGAGGUGGCACAGAAUCAACCCCUCCAAAGGUGGCAUGCAUAUGUACAGAAAUGGGGUGCAGGCUGCCCUAGGUCCCUGUCCUUUUAAGCUACUCAGCUCCCUCUAGUAACUGAACCAACAGCUAAGCCAGAUCAAGUGUUAAAAGAAACACCACACAUCCCUGUAAAUGCCUGCUGCAUACAGUAGGAACACCAAAGUGGAAUAGGUAGCUGUAGAAAUACAAAUAAAAAUAGAUACAUGUGGCUGGAGGAGGGAAAAGAAAAUGCUGCCUGUAAGCUGAAUAAAAGUAGUACAGAUAAUAGGGACUCGUGACACUUAGCCCAUGACAACCUGUGACCUCUCUCCAGAGGUCUCUCUUUAUGGGAGGAAAAGGAAGACCUGCAGGCACUAGGUUGGCCAGUAUGGCAACAACAGAUAUGGAAGCAAAUUUAUAAGGGAGUUCAUCAGGAAUCAGAACCCCUGACAGCUUUCCAUAUGACAGCCCACAGUCCAUUGAGUCUCCUGGAUACUUUUUACUUUAAUCAAAAUACAGGCCAUUUGCCCUCAGAGGCCACUAACUGGGUCAUUCAAAGUCUGGUCACAGGGAAGCCAACACAGCAUUCAUGUAAAAUAAUUUGAUGUCCCACAUGCUGUUCAUUUGUGCAAGGUCUAUUUCUGAUUGUGGCCUUGGUAGAAUCCUACGUAUGUCAACUUGCCUGUAAAUGAUUAAUAAAUAGACUAUGCAGGACCUAUACCUCUCAGUGAUGGAUGCAAGUCUGUCCUCUCCUGUGUGAUCACUGUCACAAGUCUCAUAUAAGCACUUCAGUGCAAAUGAACAACACCUGAAAUCACCAUCGAGUGCCUCAUCAACUCAGUGUUAUGUAUGGGUGUUAUGAAAAACUGACAGUUACAAGGGUAGUCAUGUCACAAACAGUGAUGAGUAGAACUGAGCUGAAGACAAGCUGCAUUGAUGUUUUCACCUGCUUUACAAUGCACAGGUAGAAAAGGGCACCCAGAGGCCAUAAGUUUGCUAAAUGAAAAUCACAGUGCCAGGAAUGUGCUACCGAGGCCCUAUAAACCACAAAGGCUAUUGACACUGUUGUUAGUUGUUGUGAGAUAUUUGAUUACACUGUGUAAAGAUAUGUCACUGUGACUGGUUUAAUAAGAAACUAAACGUCCAAUAGCUAGGCAGGAGGUAUAGCAGGGACUUCUGGACAGAGAGAGCUGUGGGAAGAAGAAGGGCAGAGUCACCAGUCAGUUGGAGAGGAAACAGGAGGUGUAAGAUGAAAGAGAGAUAAUGCCACAUGAUAGAAUGUAGAUUAAUAUAAAUGGGUUAAUUUAAGUUACAAGAGCUAGUUAGGAACAAGCCUAAGCUAUAGGCUGAGCUUCCAUAAUUAAUAAUAAGUCUCCAUGUCAUUAUUCAUGAGCUGGUGGCCCAAAGAAAAGUCUAACAACAAAUGUUGUCCAAUGUGAGGGCUCAAAUAUCCAAACAUAGGGCCUGAGAAAGCAAAAAAAUGCUCUGGACAAAGAGCUUCAUAGUCCUACAAUCUUUCAGGCAGGCUGGUGCUGGAAGACAUACAGGGGUGUGGCUACCAGCUGCUGCCUGCAGGCUAGAGCCAUCCACCAGUGCCAUGGACCAACACCAUCCACUAAGCUGAGCUGUGCCUACAGCUGACAUAGCAAUUUAAGAUUUGUCUCAUAUGAUGCUUAGUAAAGACAGAUCCAGACAGGAGAAAAAACUCUAAACAGGUUGCAGUGUAUUUUAAAAAUGUAUGUAGACUUAGAAAAGAAAAUGGGUAUAAACAGUCAUAGGAAAGAAUAGUUUAUAAAUAAUAAAAUAAAGUCUUUAAAGAGAAAAUAAAAUAAUAUAAAAAGGAUAAGCCACAUAGAGAUAGGAAAAACCCAGGGAGUCUGGAUCCUGUAUGGUGUUGUAUUGACUUUAAAUGUUUUGAUUGCUGAUGAGCAAACAAUACCUGUUUUGAGAGACAUUGGAUUAUAAAAACUACUAAAUUAAACCAACCUAUAUAUUUUAGAAAUGUUUUAACUUCAAAAUGGAAGUCAAAAAAUAUGUUAUGUUGGGGAAGAGGUUAUGUUUUUGUUUCUAAAGAAAACAAAAGGCUGUGGAUUCAUUCAAGGUUGAUGGAGAUCAGAUUUGAUCAGAAGAGACCUCCUGAAAAUCCUGGCUACAGACAUAAAGAAAUAAACCUAUAAAAACUACAAGACAAGUGAUGUAUAUUUUACCUGUUUAAACAUAAAACAAAAAAUCAUCUUUGGCUGGCUUGUGUACAAUGCAUAGUCCAUGCUUGUGUUAACACAGAUAUGUAUAUUACUUUUAAAAGUUUGUGUGUGGGCUAGAGAGAUGUCUUAGAGGUUAAGAGCACUGGCUGCUCUUCCAGAGGUCCUGAGUUCCCAGCAACAGCAUGGUGGCUCACAACCAUCUGUAAUGAGAUCUGGUGCCCUCUUCUGGUGUGCAGGCAGAACACUGUAUAUAUAAUAAAUAAAUAUUAUUUAUUUUAAAGUUUGUGUGUUUUCAGAGCAAGGGAACCAGACACCAAUGAAAAUGGGUGGCCCUGGUGAUCCAGCUUCUCAGAGUGUCUCUGUUGCAGUUUCCUCAGAGUUCUGCAUCCAGAACAGCUUCAAGGCCCCUGGCUGAGAUGGUCCAGCCUCACAGACUACUCAGGGCUUCAGAUAAGCCUUGUACUUUCCUGUUACACAGAGACUGGACAACAAAUGAUACAGCUAGCUCUUCCGAGACUUGACCAUUAUCCUGUUGUGGAAUAUUAGUUAAAGAUGUGUUACAUUCAUUUGUGCUGUGGAUUAUUUGUUUAAUGAUGCAAAGAUGUGUUGCAUUCUUUUAUUUUGCAUUUGUUUAACUCUGUGAAGCUGUGUUACUUUGACCACCUGAAUCACCUGAUUGUUCUAAUAAAGCUCUAAACAGCCAAUAGCUAGGAAGGAGGGAGAAAUAGGCAAGGCUGGUGGGGAGAGAGAAUUAAUAGAGAGAUAAGAGAAGAUAACGGGAGAGAAAAGGAGGAGAAGAGGAUGCCAGGGGUCAGCCACCCAGCCAAAUCGUUAGACACAGAAUAAGAAGGAAAGAAAAGAUAUACAAAAAUAGAAAAAGGUAAAAGCCCAGAGGCAAAAGAUAAACACAACCAUUUAAGUUAAGAAAAGCUAGCUAGAAACAAGCCAAGCUAAGACUGGGCAUUCAUAAGUAAGAGUAAGUCUCCAUGUGAUUAUUUGGGAGCUGGGUCAUGGGUCUCCAAAGAGUAAGUAAUAAAAAACAAAAAACUACAUUAUCCUGAGUUUCUCAGGGUCCCCUAAAAAUUCCAGCACCCUGAGACAACAGGAAGCAUUCUAGAGAACACAUUCCCAAGAGAAGGGGUGGGUGGUUUUUGGUCAUUCAGUGGGUCAUCGUCUAGGGGGGUUGGUUACAAGUUGUUACUGGUCAUGGUCAAGGAAAAAGUUAAACAAAGGAGAUUAGGUUCAAGGUUCUCUUUCUAAAGGGACAAAGGGGGAAUAUAAUAUAAAAGUGAUGAAAUAAAAGAGUAGAUUGUUGAAUCUACUUUUGAACAACCACUAGUCUCAAAUAUUUUACAUUGGUAUAAUAGAAAUUUAAAGUUAUUUUUAUUAUAUUGUAUUAUAUGGUUCUAUUUCUUGUUUAAGGUAUUGUACCUAUGCAGCUCAUUUAAAAAGGAAAUGUAAAGUUUUAGUCCUUGAAAGUUAUCUAAGAUAAUAAAGAAACACAGGUUAAUAGUCAUCUAUAACAAUCAAACUUAUAGUCAUGUUAGGUAUGUUUUCGAGGUCAAUCGGAGACAUAUUUUAAAUAGAUAGAUGGUCUUCAAACACUUCAGAGACCUACAAAAUAUGGCAAUUUAAUAUUUUAAUAACAUAGGCCUUUUCAUGACAGUGAGAUACGUUUGCUCCUAGCAGUACCAAUCUAUUUCAUGGGCAUCAAAGAAUGUUCAUAAGGAGUUUGAUUUCUUUGUGACAAAACCUAGUCAUUUGGGCAAGAAAAUGCCCUUGCCUCAACUGCUGGCAGUAUGCUGUCCAAAUUGGACAAGCAGGACACAAAAGAAAGUGACUGCGGAACUUUGCCAAGACAAGGUAGGACAACCCUUCAAAAAUUUCUGCUUCACAGGAAAAUCUGUCAGUAUUCUAGACCUGUAGGCUGAAGAUGGAUGCCCCAACAUUGCAGAGGAAACUUGGGUCAUUGUCCAGGCAGCCAGCUGUUUCUGUCAUUUUUUAUAGUUUUGAAAGUUGCUUUCUCUGCACUUCCUGUUUGCUCAAAUAAUAUUUUAUCCUUUGUGGGUCUCUGAUGGGGAUUGAAGACUAGCUAGUUAUAGUUUUACAGUUUUCCUUGUUACCAAAUUCAGAAAAGAAACUUAAUAAAAGAUAUAAAGUUUAUAUAGUUGAAAAACAUAAAAGCUUAAGUUGUUUAUCUAAAAAAGUAUUUUAAAGUCUAAGAAGAUAUUUUUAGGAUGGUAGUACAAGUUAUGACAAAAAAUGGUUUAAGUAUAAAACUUUAUACUAAGAUAGGGUAGAUUAUGGAGUAUUUUCUCUAAAUUUGCCAAAUGCAAAUGGUAGACAUUAUAAAUGUAAUUGUUACCUGAUAAUUGUCCUUAUUGUAUAUAGUUUUACUAUGUUAGAGUUAGAACACUUUCCUUUUUAUUUAGACAAAAAGGGGGAAAUGUUGCAAGAUAUUUGAUUACACUAUGUAAAGAUAUGUCACUAUGAUUGGUUUAAUAAAAAGCUAAACAGCCAAUAGACAGGAAGUAUAGCAGGGACUUCUGGACAAAGAGUGCUCUGGGAAGAAGGAGGGCAGAGUCACCAGCCAGAAGGAGAACAAACAGGAGGUGUAAGAUGAAAGAGAGGUAAUGCUACAUGAUAAAAUGUACAUUAAUAUAAAUGGGUUAAUUUAAGUUACAAGAGCUAGUUAGGAACAAGCCUAAGCUAUAGGCUGAGCUUUCAUAAUUAAUAAGAAGUUUUCAUGUCAUUAUUUGUGAGCAUGUGGCGUAAAGAAAAGCCUGACUAUAGUUAGUUGCAUGCCAUAACUAGAGGGUAAGACCAUAGUGUUGAAGAUACCACAUGCUUUGGUUGCAAGACAUGGAAAAAUAGAGCUGGACUGAGCUUCCUCCCUACCAGCCGGAUUUUACAGUGUUGGAAGGUGCUUUGUGGGCUGCUGGGGAAGAAUUGACACUAAGGGUCCUGCUUAGCUAUAGACUUUGUAUGCUACAGUACCAAAAUACCAGGCAGGUACAUAUAAUGGUACAACUAUCAUGGGUACAGCCAACAGAUUUCUGAUUAGAUUUGAAGAUCACUUAACAGGAGGGCAUUCAUGUCCGGAACUAUAAGUCAACACAAAAACCUAUAGCUAGAGAGGUCUUAGGCCCCAGUAGGAAGGCUGCUACUGUUUUGUUACAUGGGUGUGAUGUGCCUAUCAAACUGCCUUAUAAACAUUUAUGCUUAAGCCCAUAGGUCAAUGGUGCUGUCAGCCACAAUUGGACAUGGAAGGAAGGUUCCUCUUACAGGGGAUGGUGUACUACACUCCAGAGACUCAUAAGCCACGCCCCCCCCAGAGAAGCUCCUGGGAACAAGUGAUUGUUACUAUGGUACAGAGGUCCAGUGUCAUCUGUAUCACCCUCUAUAAAGCUCAGGGAACAUCAUGGAAGAGAGAACCAAAAGAAUUUAAAACCAGUUUGUGCAGCAAUUUCCUCAGAGUUGAAAUAGUCCACCCUGCCAGGGGAGAUCCUCAUGUUUCAGGAAGUCCUAAACUGAAACAUUCCUUGCAUGGAAGAGCUUGGGGGAAGAAGACUCAUGAACCCCACGAGCAAACAACUUAGGAGUCUCAAGAAGUUCCUGGAAUGAACAAGACACACACACACACACACACACACACACACACACACACACACACAUACACACACACCCCGAAAAAAAGUUAUAGACCCAGUAAACAACUGCUAGGUAACCUGGAGUGACUACAGAACUAGAAAGUUAAAAUGGGCCAUUGUGUGGGGGAGGGGCAACAGAGGGGCAAAGCAGGGUACAAAUGAAUUGAAGAAGUGAGGAAAGUGGGCGGACUUUAAUUAGGGAGGAGUAGAGGGAUAAAUACAGAAAAAGUAAUUGAAGAGGGUAAAAUAAUAGCAAAGGUGUCUGAAAAGGCAUAAAAAACCAUACUAUUAACUAUCUACCUAAAAAUAGCCUUGAUACACAUAAGACAGUGUAUAAAUAUGCAGAUAUACUUGAAAUAAAAUUUUCCUGUCUGGGGUGACAAUGUUUCCCAAAGCCAUAGACCAUCUAACAAAAACCCUAACACCAGUCAUGGGAAGUCCUCUUCUAAGUUGUUAUUCAGCAUUGUUCAAGAGAAUCCCAAAACAUUACAGGCUAUUAAUGUUGCCCUUGUUUGCCCCCCAUCCCAGAAGUGGAAGGUGAGUCCCUAUUGCUGAAGAUACCAUGUAUGGUGGUUUGAAAGAAAAUGGCCCCAUGGGGAGUGGCACUAUUAGGAGGUGAGGCCUUGUUGGAGUAGGAGUGGCCUUAUUGGAGGAAGUGUGUCACUAUGGGGGUGAGCUCCUAUCCUCAAGCUAUGCUCAGUGUGACACGCAGCUUUUUUCUGCUGCCAGCAGAUCAAGAUGUAAGAUUCUCAGCUCCUUCUCCAGAACCAUGUCUGCCACAUGCUGCCAUGUCACCCAACAUGAUGAUAAUGGACUAAACCUCUGAACUGUAAGCUAGCUCCCAUUAAAUGUUUUCCUUUAUAAGAGUCAUCGUGGUCAUGGUGUCUCUUCACAGCAAUAGAAACCCUAACGAAGACACAUGUACUUCAGAUUUAGGUCCCAGAUGCCCCCCCCCCAAGCUAGAUCUGACCUGAAAGCCUCCUCCCUAAGGAUUAGCUUUCAUGGUGCCAGAAAGCACCAUACAAGCUUCGAAAGGAGGAAGGCAACCAAUUGUCCUACGUAGCUAUGAUGUCUAUGAACCACAACAGUGACUAGCAUGGCUCAGUAACCCCAAAGGUGCAGUAGUGGGAAUGCAUACCUUGGCAGUAACAAGCAGUUCCCUAACUGGGCUCAUAACCCAUUCAAUAAGAGGGAAAUCAUGUCUGCUGCUAGAAACCCAGCCAAUUACCCAGGGUUAGUGAAGUCAUGGAUCUUAGAGGAGAACCUACAACUGCCACUUUACUAAACCAACAUAAUUCCUAACUACAUUCUAAAUAUUUGUCCUUAUACCAACAGAUAGAUAAGUGUAGUCUUCACCUUCAUCAAGGAAACUUCUCUUUACAAUAGAUGGAGACCAUUACAGAAACCACCACAACCAGUCAAAGUGCAGAGUGGUAGGGCCCAGUCCCAAAUGAUACAUCUACAAAACAACUCUUGUAUCUAAGCCUCAGAGGUCAUUGUGGAAGAGGGGACAGAAAGAUUGUAAGAACUGGAGGAACAGGGAGUUUGCUAUGAGCUUGUGUGGCAGGGCAAGACAGUGCAGAAGUUCCUCCAACUUGAGUUUUUGUGGAAGCCAUUUCAGGUCUUACUAGAAUUUUAUCUCCUUGAUGAAGAAUCCCAUGGAAAAUUACCCAGCUCUACUCUAGGAACCAAAGGUCAGGAUGUCCUAGUUAAGUUAGCUUCUGUUAAAUUGCCUGUUUGUGCCGAACCCCCUCCAGCUAACUGCUUAUCUUGACUUCUGUUAAACUGCUUGCUUCUACAAAGCUCCCCAGCAGCUACAGAGCAAGAUGCCGGGAUAUGGUUUUGUUCUUUGAGGUUUUUUGAGGCUACACCUAGGUCCCCAAAUAUUUGGAUGUAGCCCCAGAUGGUUGGAAUAAAGACUUUCAAUUGGC
This is a long non-coding RNA of Peromyscus californicus insignis, 15617 nucleotides long. RefSeq lists it as uncharacterized. The record is from RefSeq and is a predicted model, not a curated record. Lineage: Eukaryota; Metazoa; Chordata; Mammalia; Rodentia; Cricetidae. The transcript is spliced from 2 exons.